CUUUACUGUAGCCUGGUAUUGGGUUCGGGCUUUGACUGCGCAGGAUAGGUGGGAGACUACGAAGCUUUCUUUGUGGAGGGAGCAGAGUCAACGGUGAGAUACCACUCUGGCAAGGCUAGAAUUCUAACCUCUGCCCGUUAGCCGGGAGAGGAACAGUUUCAGGCGGGUAGUUUGACUGGGGCGGUCGCCUCCUAAAAGAUAACGGAGGCGCGCAAAGGUUCCCUCAGGCUGGUCGGAAAUCAGUCGAAGAGUGCAAAAGCAAAAGGGAGCUUGACUGCAAGACCAACAAGUCGAGCAGGGUGGAAACACGGCUUUAGUGAUCCGACGGCACAGCGUGGAAUGGCCGUCGCUCAACGGAUAAAAGUUA
Molecule: ribosomal RNA, 367 nt
Filed under: uncultured organism
Description: bacterial LSU rRNA
Rfam family: Bacterial large subunit ribosomal RNA
Source: RNAcentral